AAACACUGCUACUCUCUCUCUCUUCAAGACUCUCUCUCUUCAACACGCUGGCUAUUGACUCUCUCUUCAAGGCACCUGCUAUUCACUCUCUCUCUUCAACACGCCUGCUAUUCACUCUCUCUCUCUCUUCAAUACACCUGCUAUUCACUUUCACUCUCUGUUCUACUUCUUAUUGUUGGCAUGUUUCUUCUCUCUAUCUCGUGCUCCUUGUGCUCUAAAAAGUAAAACCCUUACUGAGAAUCACAUAUCUUCAUUAUGAGUGGGAGAGCGAGAAGGGACCAGAAAAACGAGCAGAUCGCUCGAGCUCUCUCUAAGCUCCCCCAUAACAAGAAAUGCAUCAACUGCAACUCCCCUGUCCCCCAAUAUGUAUGUUGCGAUUUCAGUACAUUUGUGUGCAUGACUUGCAGUGGCAUUCACCGAGAGUUUACACACAGGGUGAAGUCCAUCUCCAUGUCCAAGUUCAGCCCUGCUGAGGUAGCUGCUCUUCAUUCAGGUGGAAACCAGGUUGCGCGCGAAAUUUACAUUAAAAAAUGGGAUUUCCAGAAAAAUAAACUCCCCGAAAACAGUGAUUUGGAGAAUUUGCGUAAGUUCAUCAAACAAGUUUAUGUAGAGAAGGCUUAUGCGGCGGAGGAAGCUUUUGCGAGGGGAAGGACAGACGAAUGUGGUCGUUUUUCAGUUGAUCGAAUAUAUGUGGAUUAUAAUUUUGAUGCAAGCCGUCGAUCCUUCUCAUCCUACAGAGACAGUUCUUUGAAUCUCAACAAAUUCAAGAGAUUUCCAAGCUAUGUUAGCAAUAAAAUUGAUGGAACAAGUACCCAUGGCUGGUAUGACAUGGAUAGAGAUGGGCCAAGGCGGUUUUCAAAUUAUUCAGAAGAUGACUGCUUUGAAAGGAUUAAGAGUUUAUCUUCCUAUGCCGAGAAAACACGCAUGGAUCCAGCAGGUGAAAAUCCUACUGGCUUUCUAAAUUGGGAUGGGAGGGAUGAUAUGGGGAAGCCAUCCAAUAAUUCUUGUGGCUCUAUAGGAGAAAUUCCCCAUGUCCAAAACUUCCAGGGGAAUGAAUAUGGUAAUGGAUUAAGUCAAGGCAUAAAUUAUAUUGGGUUUGGAGAAGCUGGCUUGUUCAAUAGCUAUUGUAAUUUGAACAGCCAAAAUGGAGCUUCAGUUGGUGGUUUUACUUUGCAUGGACAACAUGGAGAAAAGCAAUCCCUUUCGGAUGGAAAGGGUGACAAAUUACACAUAUCGAAGUCUGCGUCCUUUGCCUAUUCAGAAAGCCUCACAGGAUUUCCUUCUCACCAAUGUGUUUCAGUCAGCGAAACAAGACACUAUGUGCAAGGAAUUGGUGUUGAAAGCGCUCUUAAUAAUGGAUGGGCAACAUUUGAUCUUCCUCCUUCAUCUAGGAAUAACAGCUCCCUUAGCAAUGGUCCUGCCCAUAUAUAUGGAACUAAGGAGCCCAUCGAUGGCAAAACUGAAAGUAUCUCAAAACCCACAUUUUGUGCAAGGGAAGGUUCUGUGAACGUUGAAAGUGAUAAUCAGUGUUCAAAUUCAUCUUUCUCUCAGACCCCAGUGCAGCAGUGUUGGAAUGCAUUCGCUUCAUGCUCUUCUUAUGGAGGGCAAGAAAUUCAAUCAGAAACUUCAAACAGUAUCCUUUAUUCCGAUGAUAGUCCUAGUAUUGUCAGCACAUCAGUCCCUCAGCCCUUUCAACAGCAGCUAUGGAACCCAUUUCCUGCUACUGCUUUUGGAGAAUUAGAAGCUCAUAUGUAUACUUCUGAGUGGGAAGCUGAUUUUUCAUCUAUGCCAGAAUACAGAAACCAAGAUGAGGUGUCAGUUUCCUCUAUUGAUCCACCACAUAAGUCAAGGAAUCCAUUUGAUUCUCCUGAAGACUACGUUCCAGUACCCAUCGACUUCCCCAUUGCCAGAUUCUACCAUGAUGGUCCCAUCCAAUUAUUUUGGGGUGUCAAGGAGCUGCUUUUGCCAUAUGCCUCGAGCCAAGGAAACCAGAACAAAGCCGUAGAAACUAUGGGCCCCUUGGCCCCGCCUCUUGAUGGCCUAGCUAGUCUAUCAUUGAGUUCAAGCUCACAAACUAAAGUUCCAAUUAGCGAAGAGUUGAAAAGUCGCAACCCUUUUGACUGAUCUGCAUGCUAAGGAGUUCUGACAUAACUUUGAUAGAGAGGGGAUCAAGGUAGUGCGAUGCCUAAAGUUUAGAAGGGGUCUCACUGACUCAGAGUUGUUGGAGUUUGCAAGUAUGAUGGAUGGUAUAUUCCUCUUAGAGGAGGUUAGAUCUUUGGAGAGAUGGGGAUAGCUCUUUGCAAGAUCCUUCUAUCAUGCAUUGGUAGCUGAACGGUGGAUUGCCCCCUUGCGAACUAGUUUGGCAUAUUCAAUAUGGAUCUAUUUAUGUGUAGGGAGGGGUACCAAUUGUUGGAUCAUCGAUUUCUCCAUCAUAACUAUGCUAGGGCAGUAUGUUACUUCGUGCUAGAUCUCUUUGGGAUGGUUGGACUACACCGCCUUCAAUGUCAUGCUUGAUCUGUUUCUCAACCGGGUUCUCAGAUAGAACUUGGAUAUUGAGGCAGUUAACGUUUUAAUCCUAUUGUCAGCAUAUGGGAGAUUUGUAAGGAAUGCAGCAGUGGGACAUUCAAAGGUCAGAGCAUUUGCAAGGUUGUUCUGCAAGCACAAAUACGAAACCAUGACGAUUACUAUGAGGUAGUGCAUACUGCUGAUAGGAUCAUUGAAGCUGAAAUUUGAUGGGUGCCUAAGGGUAAUCCAAGGCAGGGGGCCUGGAAAGGAUGCCAAUAGGACCGUUACGCCAUUAAGCGCUUUGCAUGAGGAAUUGAAUUGCUACUCCCAUCAUGAUGAGACGAUCAUCAUUGAAGGCAAUGGCCCCUAAGUGUUGUUGAACGAGCAAGUAGAUUAGUCUCUCACCCCUGGGUUCAUGGCUGUAUCUUUGAUGAGAUUGCAUAUGCAUGUUCAUGAUGUUAUGGGGGAAGCUAAUCUUGAGUCCAACGUACUUGCUAAUGGUGGUGGUGUCUCGUGAUAGUUUAUGGGUAGUGGCAGGUACUAGUUCUAAUGCUCCAACGCAGAUGGUGAAAGUGAAUAUUAACUUGCCUACAUGGAUCGAAGAGCAGUUCGUCAGUAAUGUGUAAAAUGGCAGGUAAGGCGUUGACUGUAUGUUUAAAGGGAAUUUGUAUAAUAAUCUGGAUGUUGGAUACCUGGGAUGGAUAUAUACCUUGUAAGAGUACUUUGUUCACUGUCUUUUUUUUUUCUUUUUCUCUUUCUUUUUCUUUUUCCUUUUUUUUUUUUUGCCUUUUCUGUGUGCAUGUAUAUGGCCUUUUAAGACCCUUGGAAGGGCAAUGAGGUAGACCCCUUGGCGCGAGAUUCCCCCCUCCUCUCUCUCAAAUUAGACUCUCAUAUCCGGAAAAAAACUCAAGGGAAAGUCCUACAUGCGGUUCUACCUAGAUCUAAAAUGUAUGUAACUGCUAUUAUUCUCAGUUAUCCGAUGUGAUGAUAGCUUUUGUCACAUUGUUAUAUUUA
Amborella trichopoda is the source of this 3519-nucleotide RNA transcript. RefSeq lists it as uncharacterized. The record is from RefSeq and is a predicted model, not a curated record. Lineage: Eukaryota; Viridiplantae; Streptophyta; Magnoliopsida; Amborellales; Amborellaceae.